ACUCCCAUGAUGUGGACACUUCUGCAGCAUAUUUUUAAAUCUAUUCCAAACUUCAUCGAAGUUCUCUGAAUUGCCUUGACGAAAAACAAAUAUGUCAUGCUUGAGCUU
RNAcentral lists this small nucleolar RNA (108 nucleotides) under Olea europaea subsp. europaea. RNAcentral's name for it is "Plant small nucleolar RNA R71". It matches the Rfam family "Plant small nucleolar RNA R71". Rfam says of the family: R71 is a member of the C/D box family of snoRNAs containing the C (UGAUGA) and D (CUGA) box motifs. Multiple nearly identical copies of this snoRNA have been identified in Arabidopsis, and it is thought to function as a 2'-O-ribose methylation guide for 18S ribosomal RNA. Lineage: Eukaryota; Viridiplantae; Streptophyta; Magnoliopsida; Lamiales; Oleaceae. The record is from Rfam by way of RNAcentral.